This 492-nucleotide ribosomal RNA is filed under the name uncultured bacterium. RNAcentral describes it as "partial 16S ribosomal RNA". It matches the Rfam family "Bacterial small subunit ribosomal RNA", at positions 29 to 507 of the family's 1533-position model. The record is from RNAcentral.
AGUGAACGCUGGCGGUAGGCCUAACACAUGCAAGUCGAACGGCAGCACAGUAAGAGCUUGCUCUUACGGGUGGCGAGUGGCGGACGGGUGAGGAAUACAUCGGAAUCUACUUUUUCGUGGGGGAUAACGUAGGGAAACUUACGCUAAUACCGCAUACGUCCUCCGGGUGAAAGCAGGGGAUCUUCGGACCUUGCGCGAUUGAAUGAGCCGAUGUCGGAUUAGCUAGUUGGCGGGGUAAAGGCCCACCAAGGCGACGCUCCGUAGCUGGUCUGAGAGGAUGAUCAGCCACACUGGAACUGGGACACGGUCCAGACUCCUACGGGAGGCAGCAGUGGGGAAUAUUGGACAAUGGGCGCAAGCCUGAUCCAGCCAUACCGCGUGGGUGAAGAAGGCCUUCGGGUUGUAAAGCCCUUUUGUUGGGAAAGAAAAGCAGCAGGUUAAUACCCCGCUGUUCUGACGGUACCCAAAGAAUAAGCACCGGCUAACUUCGUG